GCGCUAAUAGCUCAGUUGGGAGAGCGUCAGACUGAAGUCGAUUCGGUCCACCACAUCCGGGGUAAUCUGAAGGUCACCCGUUCAAUCCGGGUUUGGCGCA
Molecule: non-coding RNA, 100 nt
Organism: Pyronema omphalodes CBS 100304
Lineage: Eukaryota; Fungi; Ascomycota; Pezizomycetes; Pezizales; Pyronemataceae
Source: Rfam